UAUCGACUGCCCUAGCAGACUUGCCAAGACGAUAGGUUUUUUUCCUUUAGGAGGAAAUUAUG
Molecule: non-coding RNA, 62 nt
Filed under: unclassified sequences
Source: RNAcentral